UACGGAGGGGGCGAGCGUUAUUCGGAAUUAUUGGGCGUAAAGGGCGCGUAGACGGCUGUACAAGUCAAAGGUGAAAUCCCUCGGCUCAACUGAGGAACUGCCUUUGAAACUGUACGGCUUGAGGCCGGGAGGGGGUAGCGGAAUUCCCAGUGUAGCGGUGAAAUGCGUAGAUACUGGGAGGAACACCAGUGGCGAAGGCGGCUACCUGGACCGGUUCUGACGCUGAGGCGCGAAAGCGUGGGUAGCAAACAGG
This 253-nucleotide ribosomal RNA is filed under the name uncultured bacterium. Its description in RNAcentral is "partial 16S ribosomal RNA". It matches the Rfam family "Bacterial small subunit ribosomal RNA", at positions 524 to 776 of the family's 1533-position model. The record is from RNAcentral.